UGUUUCCUGGGCCAGUUUGAUCUGAACUCAGUAUGAUAGUCAAGCCACUCCAAAAUCCUCCCUUUAAUUAUAUAAAAGUACACUUCGAAGAUGAACAUGUGUGCCUACAGAUGGUGUGCUUGGCCUGGAAAGUGAAGCUAUUGCCCUUUGAACCUGCAUUGAAAAUGUCAAGAAGACCGAGAUCCCUCGUCUCAGCUCCAACCAGAGUAAAAGGCCUAAAACGCAGCUUUUGUGGGUGUAAUGUACCACAAAGUGACAGAGUUUAAUCUAUGUGCUUUGGAUGAUAGAUAUUCUUGCUAUAAUUUAAUUUAUUAUCAAAUCUUAAAUCUAAUCAGAACUAACAAAGGGCCUGUGUGUGAGGUAAGUGGAGCAGCCAAAAAGACAGAGAAACAGAAACCUUUUGGAUUUUAUUAUGCUGAAAACCCCCAGAAUAAGUCAUUUUUGAGAAACCAACUUUUGAACUGUGAUUGAUAAAUACUGAAGUUUACAUACUGAGUGAAAAGAGACAACAAGAGAAAGCACAUUCUUAGAGAAGGUCAUCAGAAAUGAAAAGUAUAUGGAAGGAUCAAACUGUGCCUGGUUGGGUGUGAGACCAGUUCCACGUCCUCGUCCCCUGGGGUGGAGUUUUGUCCGCACAUCACCUGUUCCUAAUUUCCGGGCCAUUAUCUGGAGGGUUCUUAAACCAGCGCUGCCUGCCACCCUCUGCCAUCCUGCUACCGUUGGUGGUAACUCGGACUUCCUUGUGUUCGUAAUUCAUGCUCCCCUGUUUUUGGAUUAACGUUUUUUCCAUCUUCAGUUGUCUCCAGAGCGAUCUCCUGUCGCGCUUAUGGGUCUACCUGCAGACAAACUAUUUCACACUCACCUGCUGCUCAGCCUGCCCCCCUGACCGUCGUGUCAACUGUGGAUAUAUCUCCCCUCUGGACCCCUUGGAACCUGGAUCCAUCUCACCUGCAUACUCCUCCCCUGGACACUCUCACGGCUACCCCUCCUAUGCCAGUCGGCCUGCAUCUACAGAAGUUCCUGCCUGUGCUCUCCUUGUGUUUCACGUGCCCGAACCUUUCUCCAUCCUAAACCUACACAUACAGUAUAUAGGAUAUGAUUACCUGCUGCAGCAUCUCAUCCUGCACCGCAGAGUCCUGCAGACCGAGAGACGGGCUUUUCUCCAGCCUCACUUUCACCACAUGUUUUGAAGCAAGUGGCACAACUUCCUUCUGCUUUUCCUCUUCAACAAACAAAAAGCAGAUUUAUCAGUGACAUGGACGAUAACUGUUCGGAUAUUAUUGUGAGACCUUUUGGCUGUUAGUUGCAGAGAAAGCUUAGUGUAACUUAGCAUGAACCUCACAACAACACAAACAAAUCCAUCUUCUCACUUUCUUAAGAAUAAGUCACUUUUUGUUAGUGCAGCGGGUUUUGUUAUAUCAGCAACUGCAAUCAAAGUAAACCUGGAGGGUACCUGAGCCAUUGUAGCAAAUAAAUCCUCUCCGAAAGUCACAUGUAUGGGAUUCCCAUUUUCCAGCAGCUCCAAAGUAUACUGAUGCACAAUUAUACGACACGACACUGCUAGGCUGGUUCACAUUCCAGUAUGUAAAUGAGGUUUUACUUCCAUCAGUCCACAUCCAGCCUCUGAAAAGGCCGAUCCAGACCUUUUGUCCUGCAGGUAUCAGCUCCUUUAUCUUCUGGUUCUCUGACAUGUUUCUCACACUGGCCAGGUCUGUGUAAUGAGCUCUGCAGAAGCUCCGGGCCUCUGUCCAUGUCAUGGGAUUGUUGAUUAAGAUAAAAGUCACAUUAGCCCCUGAAACAGAUCAAAGUGA
This is a long non-coding RNA of Haplochromis burtoni (Burton's mouthbrooder), 1811 nucleotides long. RefSeq lists it as uncharacterized. NCBI's taxonomy places the organism in Eukaryota, Metazoa, Chordata, Actinopteri, Cichliformes, Cichlidae. The record is from RefSeq and is a predicted model, not a curated record. The transcript is spliced from 3 exons.